Molecule: long non-coding RNA, 784 nt
Organism: Nicrophorus vespilloides
Lineage: Eukaryota; Metazoa; Arthropoda; Insecta; Coleoptera; Silphidae
Exons: 2
Source: RefSeq, a predicted model, not a curated record
UCAAAAAUUGGCAUAUUUCAUAGUGGCGCCCUCCAUUACCGAUAUUUAUCAACUUUGACCUCAAAUGUCAUAGAGUUUGGUUGUUUCAGUUAAAAUCAUCAUAAAUCGAGAGUAAUUAUCCGAAUAUUUCUUAUUUAUAUAGCUUAGAUUGUAUCGUUUGUUGAUUCACGUAGAUUUUACAGCUAAAUAAAGAUAUUGAUAUCCAAUUUUUGAAUGUAAUUGACAUAUUUCCAGUGGCGCCCUCUUUUGCGAAUGUUUGUCAACUUUUACUUUACAAGCGUCAAGUACAACAUUUGAUUAGUUUUCAAUUUGGAACGUCCGGAAAGUCGCAUUGCAAGAACACAUCGGCUAUUGGGAUGCGUUUGUUGUUGAAUGUAAGUUUGCUGUUAGGGUUUGGGUGACCAAAAAACAGGUGAAGCCCGAUCUGUCUUCGGAUUCCGACAGCUCCAGAGACAACUCAGAGUCGAAGACUGUUGCUCACAAGGUCUUAAAAGGUGCUGGUUCUUUCCUGCAUUUGGACGUUUUCGAUAAGAUCAGUAUGAAACGAGAGUAGUCGCUGAAAUGCUCUUCAGUAUAUAGAUUUGCAUUAAAAAAUUGGCAUAUUUCAUAGUGGCGCCCUCCAUUACCGAUAUUUAUCAACUUUGACCUCAAAUGUCAUGUCAUUCAGUUAAAAUCAUCAUAAAUCGAGAGUAAUUAUCCUAAUAUUUCUUAUUUAUAUAGCUUAGAUUGUAUCGUUUGUUGAUUCACAUAGAUUUUACAGCUAAAUAAAGAUAUUGUAAUCCAA